GCAUAUCAAUAAGCGGAGGAAAAGAAACUAACAAGGAUUCCCCUAGUAACUGCGAGUGAAGCGGGAAAAGCUCAAAUUUAAAAUCUGGCGGCUUUGGUCGUCCGAGUUGUAUUCUAGAGAAGUGUUUUCCGCGUUGGACCGUGUAUAAGUCUCUUGGAAUAGAGCGUCAUAGAGGGUGAGAAUCCCGUCUUUGACACGGACUACCAAUGCUUUGUGAUACACUCUCAAAGAGUCGAGUUGUUUGGGAAUGCAGCUCAAAAUGGGUGGUAAAUUCCAUCUAAAGCUAAAUAUUGGCGAGAGACCGAUAGCGAACAAGUACCGUGAGGGAAAGAUGAAAAGCACUUUGGAAAGAGAGUUAAACAGUACGUGAAAUUGCUGAAAGGGAAACGCUUGAAGUCAGUCGCGUUAGCUAGAACUCAACCAGGCUUGCUUGGCGUAUUUUCUAGUUAACGGGCCAGCAUCAGUUUUGACCGCAGGAAAAGGGCCAGGGAAAUGUGGCAUCUUCGGAUGUGUUAUAGUCUCUGGUCGUAUACUGUGAUUGGGACUGAGGACCGCAGCACGCGCAAGCUGUGCUUAGGAUGCUGGCGUAAUGGCUUUAAACGACCCGUCUUGAAACACGGACCAAGGAGUCUAACAAACCUGCGAGUAUUUGGGUGGUAAACCCGAGUGCGCAAUGAAAGUGAAAGUUGGGAUUCCUGUCGUGGGAAGCACCGACGCCCGGACCAGACCUUCUGUGACGGAUCUGCGGUAGAGCAUGUUUGUUGGGACCCGAAAGAUGGUGAACUAUGCCUGAAUAGGGUGAAGCCAGAGGAAACUCUGGUGGAGGCUCGUAGCGAUUCUGACGUGCAAAUCGAUCGUCAAAUUUGGGUAUAGGGGCGAAAGACUAAUCGAACCAUCUAGUAGCUGGUUCCUGCCGA
Molecule: ribosomal RNA, 917 nt
Filed under: Irpex lacteus
Lineage: Eukaryota; Fungi; Basidiomycota; Agaricomycetes; Polyporales; Irpicaceae
Description: LSU rRNA
Rfam family: Eukaryotic large subunit ribosomal RNA
Source: RNAcentral